This 461-nucleotide ribosomal RNA is filed under the name uncultured bacterium. RNAcentral's name for it is "bacterial SSU rRNA". It matches the Rfam family "Bacterial small subunit ribosomal RNA", at positions 44 to 496 of the family's 1533-position model. The record is from RNAcentral.
AGGCCUAACACAUGCAAGUCGAGGGGUAACAGAGAGAAGCUUGCUUUUCUGCUGACGACCGGCGCACGGGUGCGUAACGCGUAUACAAUCUGCCUUAUACAGAGGGAUAGCCUUUAGAAAUGAAGAUUAAUACCUUAUAGUCUAUUUUUAUAGCAUUAUAUAAAUAGUAAAGCUUCGGUGGUAUAAGAUGAGUAUGCGUCCUAUUAGUUAGUUGGUAAGGUAACGGCUUACCAAGACAACGAUAGGUAGGGGCCCUGAGAGGGGGAUCCCCCACACUGGUACUGAGACACGGACCAGACUCCUACGGGAGGCAGCAGUGAGGAAUAUUGGACAAUGGAGGCAACUCUGAUCCAGCCAUGCCGCGUGCAGGAUGACGGCCCUAUGGGUUGUAAACUGCUUUUAUAUAGGAAGAAACCUUUUCACGUGUGAGAAGCUGACGGUACUAUAAGAAUAAGGACCGG